AAGUCGUAACAAGGUUUCCGUUGGUGAACCAGCGGAAGGAUCAUUACAGAGAUCAUGCCCUCACGGGUAGACCUCCCACCCUGUGUUAUUUACUAUUGUUGCUUUGGCAGGCCGCCUUCGGGCUCUCGGCUUAGGCUGAGGUGUGUCUGCCAGAGGACCCCAACUCUGUGUUUAGUGUCGUCUGAGUACUAUAUAAUAAGUUAAAACUUUCAACAACGGAUCUCUUGGUUCUG
This 233-nucleotide unclassified non-coding RNA is filed under the name Helotiales sp. RNAcentral's name for it is "partial contains small subunit ribosomal RNA, internal transcribed spacer 1, and 5.8S ribosomal RNA". The stretch from base 1 to 46 matches the Rfam family "Eukaryotic small subunit ribosomal RNA", at positions 1786 to 1831 of the family's 1831-position model. Lineage: Eukaryota; Fungi; Ascomycota; Leotiomycetes; Helotiales. The record is from RNAcentral.